ACGAACAAUUAAGGCUAUGGGAGAAACAAUUGAAAAACAACAGAUUCUUAUGUUAACAUUGCUUUCUAUUGUGAAUGUAUUAUACAGAAUUUUUAAAAUUUAAUUCUUUAUAGUGAUUACAAUAGGUUUACAUUAGAUUCCAUGGUUACAUAGCCAAAAAAUAGAUUAACAUUUCAAUUCAUUGUUAUUUUUGGAUUCAGCGUUCAAACCAUUAGUUUACAAUAGAAUGUAUCAGUAACAUUGAAAUGUACCGUUUUUCAAUGGUCUGGACGUUUGAAAAAAAAACAGCUUUUGAGUAAUUCCGAAACAGUGUGUAUCGAUGACAGCCAAGUUUCGUUGAAAUCAGCUCGGUCGUCGGCGUUAAAAAAUUUCGAAGAGUAGUUUCGUGUGCGGAAAAAUGUGGAAAAUAAACGCUCAACUGCCUAAAUUUUCCGCACGGUAGUAAAUAUAGUGUGGUGCAGUGCUAAAUCCUUGGCUACAUCAUUCAACAGUAGCGGCAUUUCAACAGUCACAAGGACGUCAAGCCGGUGCAUAAGCAAUCAACCCAGAGCUUGUUCCGAUGAAUGCGCACGAUCUGGAUUGGUUCCUGCGGAGAGAAGAGGGCGAGGGCAAGGUGCACUGCGAAGAG
Aedes albopictus (Asian tiger mosquito) is the source of this 628-nucleotide long non-coding RNA. RefSeq lists it as uncharacterized. The transcript is spliced from 2 exons. NCBI's taxonomy places the organism in Eukaryota, Metazoa, Arthropoda, Insecta, Diptera, Culicidae. The record is from RefSeq and is a predicted model, not a curated record.